RNAcentral lists this non-coding RNA (153 nucleotides) under Rhizobium gallicum. RNAcentral describes it as "FMN sequence". It matches the Rfam family "FMN riboswitch aptamer (RFN element)". Rfam says of the family: The RFN element is a highly conserved domain that is found frequently in the 5'-untranslated regions of prokaryotic mRNAs that encode for flavin mononucleotide (FMN) biosynthesis and transport proteins. Lineage: Bacteria; Pseudomonadati; Pseudomonadota; Alphaproteobacteria; Hyphomicrobiales; Rhizobiaceae. The record is from RNAcentral.
UUCAGUUCUCAGGGCGGGUGAAAGUCCCCACCGGCGGUAAGGGCCUCGGCCCGAGCCCGCGAGCGCCUUUAGCGCGCCCAUGGGGGGGAGGGGUCAGCAGAUCAGGUGCGAUGCCGGAGCCGACGGUCAUAGUCCGGAUGAAAGAGAAUGAUC